UUGGCAGCCCUGUUAAAUAAUGAAAACAAUUUAUUUACUUGAUGAUGUUUAUAUCAACAUUAAAAUGUAAAAUGGAAAGUUUACAACCUCCUCAAUAUGGUUUGGAAAACAUACCAUUUCAGCAGCAAAUCCAUGAGGGAGCUGAGGGUCCUUGGGGAAGACCUAGGCAUAAGAGUGAAUUCCCCAAGUGGAGUAAAAGGAACGCGCUGGCUACCACAUGUGUCUAGAUCUUUGGAGACACUGUUAAAACUGGAGAGAGAGGAGGUUAUCUUCAGGACCCAGGACAGUUUACUGCAGUCUAUGUGCACAUGGACCACUUGGCCAGUGCAUCAGCAAACACAGACAUUGCUGGAAGGGCCAAAAAGAUCAAGAAGACUAUGGAGGAUGGAACUUUUGUAGCCUUCAUUCAAGUCAUUCUACCCCAGGCUGUCAGUGGGGUUCAAAACCUCAUUGUGAACAUUGAAACAAUGGCAGUGAGACCCAAACCAGGAGGAAGACUCCAGCAACUUGUAACAGACAUGCAGC
Molecule: long non-coding RNA, 525 nt
Organism: Sinocyclocheilus anshuiensis
Lineage: Eukaryota; Metazoa; Chordata; Actinopteri; Cypriniformes; Cyprinidae
Exons: 3
Source: RefSeq, a predicted model, not a curated record